RNAcentral lists this long non-coding RNA (648 nucleotides) under Anas platyrhynchos platyrhynchos (common mallard). RNAcentral describes it as "lncRNA (ENSAPLG00000021639.1)". Lineage: Eukaryota; Metazoa; Chordata; Aves; Anseriformes; Anatidae. The record is from RNAcentral.
UUGCAUGAGAGCUGGGAGUGUUUGGGGGUGGUGCUAGAGCCCCAGGUGCUGCUUUUCUGUUAAGCUGACCACCUGGCUGGCUGAGUGCUCCUUACAGGGACAUGGGGUAUGGGGAUGUAUGGGGUUACAGGGAAAUAAGGUAUGGGGAUGUAUGGGGUUAGUACUUGAUGUUUAAUACCAGGCUGUGUAAGAAGAGGUCUACUGCUGAAAGAAUAAACCCCCUCCCCCCCCCCCCCCCCGCCCCCACCAAAUUUUAAACUUCCUUCUAUUAGUGUCUGUGUGGUGGAAAAAAAAAUGCUGUGGUUCAUAAUGUCCCAGUGCCUGUGAAGGCAAUCAAAUUGUCCUUAAAUAUCAGAGCUUAUGCACUUGGAAAACUUCUCCAGCAUUGGAAAUGAGCCAUCGUGGACAGUAGCAGGGGAUUCUUCUGGAAGCCCUCCAGGCAUGGGCACAGGGUCCCAGCUGGCAGAGCGAGAGCAGCAGGUCACUUUUCCUACUGCCAGCUCCAAGUAGGUAGGAGAAAACCUGAUGGAAACCAUCGGCUUCCUUCUGGUUCUGCUGGGGGUUAUGUGCCUCGUGUUUGGCUGUGGGCCCUCUGCACCCUGUGGCUGUCUCCAGAAGGACACAGAAGAGAGGGCUCUGCAGUAAGCC